GACGAACGCUGGCGGCGUGCUUAACACAUGCAAGUCGAACGGAAAGGCCCUGCUUUUGUGGGGUGCUCGAGUGGCGAACGGGUGAGUAACACGUGAGUAACCUGCCCUUGACUUUGGGAUAACUUCAGGAAACUGGGGCUAAUACCGGAUAGGAGCUCCUGCUGCAUGGUGGGGGUUGGAAAGUUUCGGCGGUUGGGGAUGGACUCGCGGCUUAUCAGCUUGUUGGUGGGGUAGUGGCUUACCAAGGCUUUGACGGGUAGCCGGCCUGAGAGGGUGACCGGCCACCUUGGGACUUAGAUACGGCCCAGACUCCUACGGGAGGCAGCAGUGGGGAAUAUUGCACAAUGGGCGGAAGCCUGAUGCAGCAACGCCGCGUGCGGGAUGACGGCCUUCGGGUUGUAAACCGCUUUCGCCUGUGACGAAGCGUGAGUGACGGUAAUGGGUAAAGAAGCACCGGCUAACUACGUG
This 468-nucleotide ribosomal RNA is filed under the name uncultured bacterium. Its description in RNAcentral is "partial 16S ribosomal RNA". It matches the Rfam family "Bacterial small subunit ribosomal RNA", at positions 28 to 507 of the family's 1533-position model. The record is from RNAcentral.